This 4035-nucleotide long non-coding RNA is filed under the name Olea europaea (common olive). Its description in RNAcentral is "long non-coding RNA (OEUR_LNC002586)". Lineage: Eukaryota; Viridiplantae; Streptophyta; Magnoliopsida; Lamiales; Oleaceae. The record is from RNAcentral.
UUUUUAGGCUUAAUUUGCUUAUAUGUUUAUGCAAUUCGUUGUGUGUUUCUAAUAGUGAAGUAAUGACGAUUAGUUUUCCGACUUGAGAACCUUGGCCCGUGCCAACUUUGAUUUAGGAUUUGUUUUAUACCGUAUCUUAAUAUCAGCCACUUGCUGUUUGUGAAUAUGUUUGAAUGACAGCGAACAAAGUUUUUAUGACAUACAAUCACAAUCUUCGAUAAUAUUAUUGUUGUUCGAUGAUGCUUCUGUUGUGAGAUGGCAAUUGAAGUUGGUCAUGUGAUGUUAUUUUGAACAUCUGCUUUAAUAUUUGGUUAUUCAAUGACAGCAAAUACUAAACAGAUGGCAAGUUUCUUGGAUAUCGAAUAUGCAUACAUUAGGCAAACAUGCUAUAACCUAUUGAUGACGAAUAAGGUAUCUUUUUCGUUUAUUUCAUGAAUUGAUCACAAGAUAAUGACAAUAAUGAAAUAAACAAACAAAAGACAAGAACGUCGAGAUUUAUGUGAAAACUCAAGAUGAGAAAAAAUCACAGGUAGGGGAUGUUAAUAACAAAAUCUCAAUACUCUCAAUUAAAAUCUAAAACUCUCAAGAUGUUGUAUGAAUGUUAUGACCUCAAUGCAAAUCAUGGAGAAUAUAUGCAAAUCCUAAAAUCCAAGUUGUAGAUGAGAAUAGGAGUCCAGCAAAUGCGUUAAAACGUGAAAUGAGCCUGGGCCGGAUAAACACACCGCUUGAAAAAAAAAAAAAACUUAAGAAUUGCUAAUCCUUAUUCAACAAGAGAUCAUAAGGGCUUAUUAUAUGAAAGAGUAAGUUGUUUUAUUCUAUCCAAAUCUUCAAUAAUGGAUGACAUGAAACUGCAACAUCGUGAUAAACUCCAAAUUUCAACUCCAUAAAACUCGAACAAUUCUUGCUGCACUACUACAUUCACAUUGUCUCAAUCUACAUAAUAACCAAAUGAACGAGUUCACUAGACAUGAAAAGAAAUAAUGAUCUUAGAAAACAAUGCUAUUUCCACAUCUUAACCCAAGGCACACCAGCCAGGCUUGUUACAACCACUUUGUAAUUUAUGAGGAUGGAAUAGCUACUCAAAUGUCCUAUUCCUCUCCGGAUUUUUGGUCUCAAUUACUUCCUGUGAGAAAUAUUAAGGUUCUAAUCAAGUCAUAUUAUUGGUUUGCUUUAUAGAUGAUACUUUAUGAUACACCCGGUGUUAUUGAGAAGAAAAUGCACAAGUUAGACACCAUGAUGAUGAAGAAUGUCCGCAGUGCUUCCAUUAAUGCAGAUUGUGCACUCAUUGUUGUUGAUGCAUGUAAGCCACCUCAAAAGGUAUGCUCCACUAAACAUAAUUAUUUACGGAACUGUCUCCUUUAACUAAUAUCUCUCAUCUGCUAUCAGAUUGAUGAAGUGCUGGAAGAAGGUGUUGGAGACCUCAGAGAUAAGUUACCUACCUUGCUGGUUUUAAACAAGAAGGACCUGAUCAAACCUGGUGAAAUUGCAAAGAAACUUGAGGUACUAAGCAAUAUCACCCACUAUUUAGUGGCAUAAAUUAAGUUUGUAUUUCUUAGAUACAUAAUAUGCUACUAUUGCUCAAAUGAUUCUAGCAUGAAUUCUCUUCCCUUUUCUUUCUGCCAAAAUCGCACUUGACAUCUGAAUAGAUAUUUUCCAACUCUCUUUUGUUAUUCUGCUGAUUAAAGGUUACACUUGUCCACUAAAUUAGAAGACAUGAAGCCAUAUUAAGAUUUUUCUUAUUCGAAAGAUAAUGCAAUUCUACAGAGAAAAUAUAAUAUUGAAUCGAAGGGUACGUGACCACAACCUCAUAUCACAAUUAUAUGCAUUCUGUGUGGUUUGCAUCUUGCUUUUUUCUAAAUUUUCUGAUUGCACUAUUUUCAUGCCUCUGAUCUCUGUACUGGAAGGUUGCUAAAUUUUGAAGGGUGUCAAUGUAACUUCUCAAAUUUAUUUAUAUACACAUUUGUUGCAGUGGUAUGAGAAAUUUACUAAUGUUGAUGAGGUCAUACCUGUGAGUGCCAAGUAUGGUCAUGGUGUAGAUGAUGUCAAGGAGUGGAUUCUAUCAAAACUUCCAUGUGGACCAGCUUAUUAUUCUAAGGUGUUGUCUUUAUCCCUCCUUUCUAUGGUGAUAUCAUAUUCUUUUCCACUGGAAAUAGAACAUUAUUAACAAUAUAUUUCCGUUGCUUUAUAACCAUCAUAUUUAUAUCAUUCUGUAUUGUAAAAAAUGUUGAAAGUCUGGUUGAUGAGGAUAUCGGACGACGUUUACUUAUUUUAUUUAAACUUUAUUUAUUUUCUUGGACUAUUAUUUAAAUUUGGACUUGUAUGGGCUCGGGCCCAAGCUCGUUAGGGUUGCUUUACUAUUUAAACCUAUUUUGCAUUGUAAUUUUUAGUUGAUGAUAAAUGAAUAAUUAUUUUGGUGGCUUAUGGCGCAUCCCUCCCCUUCUUCUAUCCCCUCCCUUAAUUCCCCAUUCUUUCUGAAUCUUUCUUCUAUUUCUAUUAAUCAUCCUAUUGGUGCUGCAUCAAAUUUGGUAUCCGAACCUAAACUUGGGUAAUCUUUCAUCUCCAAUCCAAAAAUCUCUUCCUAUUUCUUUUUGAAGAACUUGUGGAACAGCACAAACAAAUAAACUUUUAGUAUGAGCAGCCAAGUUAUUAUUUUUCUAGCUUCUUCAUAGUUGUUCCAAAAAAAAAAAUAAUAAUAAAAUAAAAUAAAAUAAAAUCGCGUUACUGUUCAUGGGUACUAUUCACACCCGAAAAUUCAUUUUUUUUUGUAUUAUCAGUUUCAAAAAAAAAAAAUCUCAUUUUUUCCCUGCUGCUGCUGCUCAUAAAUAAAAAAAAGUAAUUGUGGUGUUGUUCCACAAAUCCCAAACCCUAGCAUUCAAGCCUACUUAGCCCUUCAGCCCAUAUAUUCCAUCUCUAUAACCUACUCUAUUCAUUUUUUUAUCAAAACACUUGGAUCAUAAGCUAGUGGCCCAAAUUACUCCCAAAGCCCACUAAACGCACAACCCAUCUCUCAUCAUCUAUUUAGCCAAUCCACUUGCUUUCCAGCCCAAUAAACACUAAAUCCAACCCACUUAUCACAUAUUAUCACAAUCGGCCCAAUACCAUUCAACCCAUAAUCAGUCCCAAAUAUCCAACCAAGCCCGAUUAUAACCAAUCCAUUAACAUCAAAUACAAUAAUGAAAUAAACAAACAAAAGACAAGAACGUCGAGAUUUAUGUGAAAACUCAAGAUGAGAAAAAAUCACAGGUAGGGGAUGAGAAAUUCAUUAUAAUCAAUAAUGAAUGACCAAGCCCGAUUAUAACCAAUCCAUUAACAUCAAAUACCCUACAGUUUCACCCGAUUUCUCGCUCACGACCACUCUCUUGCCACUGCCGCCUUUAAUCACCGUCACGCUAAAUCUCAAUACUCUCAAUUAAAAUCUAAAACUCUCAAGAUGUUGUAUGAAUGUUAUGACCUCAAUGCAAAUCAUGGAGAAUAUAUGCAAAUCCUAAAAUCCAAGUUGUAGAUGAGAAUAGGAGUCCAGCAAAUGCGUUAAAACGUGAAAUGAGCCUGGGCCGGAUAAACACACCGCUUGGGCGCCAGGCGAGCAGCAGCCUGACACUCAAUCACUGGAAAUUGCAUUUACUUUCUUCUCCAUCCAUAAUUUUAUCUCUUCAAUACCACGUCAAUCAAAACUAUAAUACCCACUAUAAUUUGGGUCGAACUACAACAAUUUAAUUGAGUCUAACUUCAUCUCUUAUUGCUAUGGCGGAUGAAUAAACAGCGCACUUGUUUUAAUUUUGAUGGAUGAAUAAACAGUACACUUGUACAGGUAUAUGCUAUUGAGGAACUACUGAAUCUCUUCUUGCCAUUAUCCUUUAAUAUUUUAUAGAGGUAUACCUUACUAAGGCUAUUAUAUUGGGUUAGCGUUCAAUUUCUAGCUCUGGUUUUUGUUGCUUAUACAAUUGCAAUUCGCAUUUUUAUAGUAACUUUGUAACAGAGACAAUGGAAGCACAAUUGUUUUAUAAUAUCUAAUAACAAUAUUUGAUUUUUUUUUUU